GUGGGGAAUCUUAGACAAUGGGGGAAACCCUGAUCUAGCCAUGCCGCGUGAGCGAUGAAGGCCUUAGGGUUGUAAAGCUCUUUCAGCUGGGAAGAUAAUGACGGUACCAGCAGAAGAAGCCCCGGCUAACUCCGUGCCAGCAGCCGCGGUAAUACGGAGGGGGCUAGCGUUGUUCGGAAUUACUGGGCGUAAAGCGCGCGUAGGCGGACCAGAAAGUUGGAGGUGAAAUCCCAGGGCUCAACCUUGGAACUGCCUUCAAAACUCCUGGUCUGGAGGUCGAGAGAGGUGAGUGGAAUUCCGAGUGUAGAGGUGAAAUUCGUAGAUAUUCGGAGGAACACCAGUGGCGAAGGCGGCUCACUGGCUCGAUACUGACGCUGAGGUGCGAAAGCGUGGGGAGCAAACAGGAUUAGAUACCCCAGUAGUCC
RNAcentral lists this ribosomal RNA (425 nucleotides) under uncultured bacterium. RNAcentral's name for it is "partial 16S ribosomal RNA". It matches the Rfam family "Bacterial small subunit ribosomal RNA", at positions 354 to 796 of the family's 1533-position model. The record is from RNAcentral.